AAGUCGUAACAAGGUUUCCGUAGGUGAACCUGCGGAAGGAUCAUUACCUUUCAAUGCAGCAGAAUUGGGAUGGUUGAGUAUCUCGCCUCUCCGUUCUGCCUGUAUUCUACCCUUGUUUGUCAUAUACUAUUAUUUCCUCGGCAGGCUUGCCUGCCGAGUGAAACCAUUUAUAACCUUUUUAAUUUUCAAUCAGCGUCUGAAAAAAAUAAAUAAUUACAACUUUCAACAACGGAUCUCUUGGUUCUG
RNAcentral lists this unclassified non-coding RNA (246 nucleotides) under Paraphoma chrysanthemicola. Its description in RNAcentral is "partial internal transcribed spacer region". The stretch from base 1 to 46 matches the Rfam family "Eukaryotic small subunit ribosomal RNA", at positions 1786 to 1831 of the family's 1831-position model. Lineage: Eukaryota; Fungi; Ascomycota; Dothideomycetes; Pleosporales; Phaeosphaeriaceae. The record is from RNAcentral.